Podarcis lilfordi (Lilford's wall lizard) is the source of this 1121-nucleotide non-coding RNA. The record is from the annotation of a GenBank genome assembly. Lineage: Eukaryota; Metazoa; Chordata; Lepidosauria; Squamata; Lacertidae.
CAAUAUUUGCUUGCUUCCCUCUCCCCAAGCAGCUGGAUGUUGAGAAAGCUCUCUGUGGCUGUGAGGUUUAUGGAUCAAAACCCCCAGAAAGGUAAUUUCUUCCUCUUUGAAUUCUUAGAUAUAAAUGUUUAUACCGCAAGUUCAUACUGAAGAUUAAAGAUGUACAUAGAGGAUGAAAUAUAGACUUCCUUGCAUGUGUCUCCCCUUCCACUUUUUAUCCUCCAAACAGCCCUGUGAGGUAGGUCGGGCUGCCGGACAGUGCUUGGCCCAAGGUCACCCAUUGAACCUUGUGGCUGUGUGGGGAUUUGAACUCUGACCUCCCAGGUUCUAGCCCAACACUAACCACUGCACCACACUGGAUAAUGAAUGAAGGAUGACGCAGAACCAAAUACAGAUCUGGCUGAGGUAAAACCAUGAGCAAUCCUUAUAAAGCAGGAAUCCCCAAACUCGGCCCUCCAGAUGUUUUGGGACGACAGCUCCCAUCAUCCCUAGCUAACAGGACCAGUGGUCAGGGAUGAUGGGAGUUGUAGUCCCAAAACACCUGGAGGGCCGAGUUUGAGGAUGCCUGUUUUAAAGUCCUGCGUCCGUCUACUCGGAAGUAAGUUUGGCUAGAAAUCAAUGGGGCUUACUUCCAAGUAAGUGAGCAUAGGGUGGCAGUUUAAGCUUCUUCCAAAAAUAAGGUAUUUAUUAUUUAUUUAUUUUAUAUAAUGAUACGGUAUUAUAAGUAAUAGUAAUCUUAAUCAUUAAAUUGAAAACAAACAAGCAAACACCAAGCAACACAUAAUUCAUUCUUUGGGAAUCCCCAAAGCAAAUAUAUGUACCAGCUCAUUUAAUGUCUCCAAAAUAACCCCCUACCACUUUUAAUUUGCUUUAAAAUUGUUUUAUAUUGUAAACUGCCCUAUGAUCCUUAGAUGAAGAUGGUAUCCCCUCACCCUCUGCUUUGUAUGGCUAUUUGGAAAUCUACCUGCUUAUUUUUUCAGAACUGCUUUGGAGCAUUGGCAAAUCAUUUGGCACCAGCCCCAUCUAGAGACUGUUUCAAGAAUCACACCUCUGAACUUGAACUGUUCUAAAAGUAUUCAAAGCAUACUUCCUUCUCUCUCCAGCAACUCAUUUCUACCAGG